CCUACGGGAGGCUGCAGUAGGGAAUCUUCCACAAUGGGCGAAAGCCUGAUGGAGCAACGCCGCGUGGGUGAAGAAGGUCUUCGGAUCGUAAAACCCUGUUGUUAGAGAAGAAAGUGCGUGAGAGGAACUGUUCACGUUUCGACGGUAGCUAACCAGAAAGCUACGGCCAACUACGGGCCAGCAGCCGCGGUAAUACGUAGGUGGCAAGCGGUAUCCGGAUUUUUUGGGCGUAAAGGGAACGCAGGCGGUCUUUUAAGUCUGAUGUGAAAGCCUUCGGCUUAACGGGAGUAGUGCAUUGGAAACAGGGAGACUGGAGUGCAGAAGAGGAGAG
Molecule: ribosomal RNA, 331 nt
Filed under: uncultured bacterium
Lineage: Bacteria
Description: partial 16S ribosomal RNA
Rfam family: Bacterial small subunit ribosomal RNA
Source: RNAcentral